This 431-nucleotide ribosomal RNA is filed under the name uncultured microorganism. Its description in RNAcentral is "bacterial SSU rRNA". It matches the Rfam family "Bacterial small subunit ribosomal RNA", at positions 9 to 418 of the family's 1533-position model. The record is from RNAcentral.
GAGUUUGAUCAUGGCUCAGGACGAACGCUGGCGGUAUGCCUAAUACAUGCAAGUCGAGCGCAGGAAGCAGACUGAAGCCUUCGGGUGGAUGUCUGUGGAAUGAGCGGCGGAUGGGUGAGUAUCACGUGGGUAACCUGCCUGUAAGCUUGGGAUAACUCCGGGAAACCGGUGCUAAUACCAGAUAAGAUUUCCGUUCGCAUGAACGGAAAAUGAAAGGCGGCUUUUGCUGUCACUUACAGAUGGACCCGCGUCGCAUUAGCUAGUUGGUGGGUAAAGGCUCACCAAAGCAACGAUGCGUAGCCGACCUGAGAGGGUGAUCGGCCACACUGGGACUGAGACACGGCCCAGACUCCUACGGGAGGCAGCAGUAGGGAAUCUUCGCAAUGGACGAAAGUCUGACGGAGCAAUACCGCGUGAGUGAUGAAGGUCUU